Molecule: ribosomal RNA, 253 nt
Filed under: uncultured bacterium
Lineage: Bacteria
Description: partial 16S ribosomal RNA
Rfam family: Bacterial small subunit ribosomal RNA
Source: RNAcentral
UACGUAGGGUGCAAGCGUUCAUCGGAAUUCCUGGGCGUAAAGCGUGCGCAGGCGGUGAUGCAAGACAGAUGUGAAAUCCCCGGGCUUAACCUGGGAACUGCAUUUGUGACUGCAUUGCUGGAGUGCGGCAGAGGGGGAUGGAAUUCCGCGUGUAGCAGUGAAAUGCGUAGAUAUGCGGAGGAACACCGAUGGCGAAGGCAAUCCCCUGGGCCUGCACUGACGCUCAUGCACGAAAGCGUGGGGAGCAAACAGG